Molecule: long non-coding RNA, 565 nt
Filed under: Homo sapiens (human)
Lineage: Eukaryota; Metazoa; Chordata; Mammalia; Primates; Hominidae
Description: HSALNT0069347
Source: RNAcentral
GCACAAUUUUAUAUUUUUACUCUGAAAGCUGGUUUGCAAGGAGGUGCAUAAAUAUUAUUUAUCAAAUUACUAGCAUUUUUUGCAAUGCAACUUAUGUUUUUAUAAUGACACCAGAUUAAGAAGAGUGAAAGAAUUGAGCUGCAAAUCUAAGCUUUGCACUCCCAAUCUUAUGUUGGAAUAAUAAAUUCAGUUCAGCCAUAACUUACUGAAUAUGUCUAAUAUUUCUGAAAAUGUCUGAGAUAUUACUGGAUAGGUCAUAGAAGAAAUAUGGAGAAAUGGAAACUAGAAUGAUUAGCACUGCUCCAUCACUCAUGGGAAGACCCUGACCUUUCUCUUCAGUGAACAUGGAUGAAGUUCAGGCAGCAUCAGCAUGCACAAUGAGUGAAGCAGAGAUUCCCUGAAUUCAGUAGAAUUUUAUCUUAGACAAAUGUCUACACUUAUUUUGUGUUUUGUAUACUAUCUUUGCUGGGGUUGUUCCUCUACCCAUGCCAAGCACAUCUUAUUUCCUCAUUAUUUUACAAAAGAUUCAAACUGCAAGAUGAUAAAUAAUGGCCACUAGAAAGAA